Molecule: small RNA, 99 nt
Filed under: Mycoplasmoides pneumoniae M129
Lineage: Bacteria; Bacillati; Mycoplasmatota; Mycoplasmoidales; Mycoplasmoidaceae
Description: Mycoplasma pneumoniae M129 ncRNA
Source: RNAcentral
AUAGAGUGAUUCAAAACCUUAAUAUCUAAUUCUUCCUUUUCAGCCUCUGAGUUUACGUAUUUACCUACUGUAAGGUCGUAGUUAGAUUCCCUAAUUUUG